Molecule: ribosomal RNA, 433 nt
Filed under: uncultured bacterium
Lineage: Bacteria
Description: partial 16S ribosomal RNA
Rfam family: Bacterial small subunit ribosomal RNA
Source: RNAcentral
AACGAACGCUGGCGGCAUGCCUAACACAUGCAAGUCGAACGAGACCUUCGGGUCUAGUGGCGCACGGGUGCGUAACGCGUGGGAACCUGCCCUUAGGUUCGGAAUAACUCCCCGAAAGGGGUGCUAAUACCGGAUAAUGUCUUCGGACCAAAGAUUUAUCGCCUUUGGAUGGGCCCGCGUUGGAUUAGCUAGUUGGUAGGGUAAAAGCCUACCAAGGCGACGAUCCAUAGCUGGUCUGAGAGGAUGAUCAGCCACACUGGGACUGAGACACGGCCCAGACUCCUACGGGAGGCAGCAGUAGGGAAUAUUGGACAAGGGGCGAAAGCCUGAUCCAGCAAUGCCGCGUGAGUGAUGAAGGCCUUAGGGUUGUAAAGCUCUUUUACCCGGGAUGAUAAUGACAGUACCGGGAGAAUAAGCUCCGGCUAACUCCGUG